GGCAGAGCUAAACUGAGAGAAGCAAAGUGCUUUGUGACAUGAUGAACAAGUUGCAACCUUAGCUGUCUGCUACACGUCACACACCAGCCACAAGCCUUGAGCACCAACUUAAAAUCAAGCAAAUAAAUGCAAAGUCCUACAUGACUCAAAUAUUUGCUAACACAGCCUGAAAGAGAAAAAAGGUCUGGUAUCCACCAGUACAUCAACUGUCACCACAACUUCUUUAAGGAUAACCAGUAUGUCACAGAGCCGUUCCUGUGUUUAAUUCAGCAAAACAUGGUUCAGUUUUGAAGUGAAAGCACAUUUUAAAAGGGAUAAGGUAACUGCUCUGCAAAUCAAGGCUACGUUAUUUAAAAUCCAAACCCACACUUUUGGCAGCCAGAGCAGCAGCAGCAUCUUCUAUGCAGUAUUUGAUGUUUCUGCCUCAUCACCGAGACCACACAGCACCCAACUCAAAAGCCUGCAACUUUUCUGAAGUGAGAGAUGUUAUGCUGUAUUUUCAACAUCCCCAGGCACUUCUGGCAGAUUUUAAGCUCCAUUUGAGGCAGGAUGAUGCAGGAGAGUGGAGUUGCUGGGAGGAGUCUUUAUUCCGGUUU
Non-coding RNA from Cyanistes caeruleus (blue tit), 596 nucleotides. NCBI's taxonomy places the organism in Eukaryota, Metazoa, Chordata, Aves, Passeriformes, Paridae. The record is from RefSeq and is a predicted model, not a curated record.